RNAcentral lists this ribosomal RNA (464 nucleotides) under uncultured bacterium. RNAcentral describes it as "partial 16S ribosomal RNA". It matches the Rfam family "Bacterial small subunit ribosomal RNA", at positions 338 to 795 of the family's 1533-position model. The record is from RNAcentral.
CCUACGGGAGGCAGCAGUAGGGAAUUUUCCACAAUGGGCGCAAGCCUGAUGGAGCAACACCGCGUGAGUGAAGAAGGGUUUCGGCUCGUAAAGCUCUGUUGUUGGAGAAGAACGUUCGUGAGAGUAACUGUUCCCGCAGUGCCGGUAUCCACCCAGACAGUCCCGACUAACUACGUGCCAGCAGCCGCGGUAAUACGUAGGUGGCAAGCGUUAUCCGGAUUUAUUGGGCGUAAAGCGAGCGCAGGCGGUUGCUUAGGUCUGAGGUGAAAGCCUGCGGUUAACCGAAGAAGUGAAUCGGAAACCGGGCGACUUGAGUGCAGAAGAGGACAGUGGAACGCCAUGUGUAGCGGUGGAAUGCGUAGAUAUAGGGAAGAACACCAGUGGCGAAGGCGGCUGGCUGGGCUGCAACUGACGCUGAGGCUCGAAAGCAUGGGUAGCGAACAGGAUUAGAUACCCUUGUAGUC